AUGAACGCCACCAUCUUCCCGCACGCAGACAGCGCCGCCCGCCUCGCCUCGGGCAUGACCUCGCGUGCGCGCCGACCGGAACCCCACAGCAUCGCUGGGUGACCGGAGCGUCGUGCCGUCC
RNAcentral lists this small RNA (121 nucleotides) under Xanthomonas massiliensis. RNAcentral describes it as "Xanthomonadaceae sRNA Xoo5". It matches the Rfam family "Xanthomonadaceae sRNA Xoo5". The record is from RNAcentral. Lineage: Bacteria; Pseudomonadati; Pseudomonadota; Gammaproteobacteria; Lysobacterales; Lysobacteraceae.